This is a non-coding RNA of Hypomesus transpacificus, 918 nucleotides long. Lineage: Eukaryota; Metazoa; Chordata; Actinopteri; Osmeriformes; Osmeridae. The record is from the annotation of a RefSeq genome assembly.
CUGAAUGUCAUGUUCACAUCUCUCAGCCAUGACAAUGUCUAAAGCUGGCCUUCUCGUCCUCCUUGUCUUCUCUUUUCUCCUGGCUACAGGUUGUUCCUCCGUGAUUAGCAAGGUGUACCAGAUCCCACACGCUUUAAUUAGUGACGCUGGAGAGAAUGUCGAGCUACGCUGCAAUCAAAAGCAGACUGGCGCCAAUUAUAUUUACUGGUACCAGCAAUCUGUGAUAGGAGAACUCCAAUUCCUUGGCAGACUCUUCUACUCGGAGCACGUCAUGGAAAAGGACGUCGAUAAGCGGUUAUCCAUGGCCUGGACGGCUACUUCCAGCGGCUUGUUGCUCAUUUCAAACGCCUCAUGUUUGUAUUGUGUUUGUCUCUGACUGAGUCAACAUGUUCCGAGCCCUCACCAUCAGUGUCUUUGCUCUCUGGCACACAGGUUGGAGCCAGACUGUGCUGAUCACCCAGUGGCCAGGCUACAUCUCCAGCCAGCCUGACGCCUCGGUGGAGAUGCACUGUUAUCAGAACAACACAGACCAUCCCUACAUGUCGUGGUACAGGCAGCAGAGAGGGAAGGAGCCCGUGCUGAUGGCUACUCUCGUAGCUGGGUCUCCGAGCUACGAACCUGGGUUUGAUUCUGGCUUUGGAGUGUCAAGCUCGGAGAAAAAGAUGUGGUCUCUGGCCGUGGAGGCGGUGCGCAGUACUGACGAGGCGGUGUAUCUGUGCGCUGCCAGUCAGCACGGUGCUGCAGAGUCACGGAGCUCUGAGACAAUAUCCCUCCCUGGGAGGCUGCCAGGAGUCUCUGACACCUGCUGUUCAUGGCCCAGCCUGCUCACUGGUGGUGGGAAAGAAUGGGUCUUCCUAAGUAGGCAGUUACCUUAUCUACCUCCAGAGGGGGAAAAAAGUUGAUUCAUUUUAAUUCUGA